CGGCCGCAGGGCACGUGGGGGCUGCCGGCCCGUCGGGUGCCGGGGCUGCUGGCCCAUCUAGUGCUGCAGCCCCACCUGCUGCUGGUGGUGCUGCUGGUGGUGCUACUGGCACGAAGCGGCAGGCCGACCUAGGGAGCGGCGGGGCCACUACCGCAGAGCCGCCGCAGCAGCGGCGGAAGCUCGGACUAUCGGAGGACGAGCAGCCGGCGCAGCAGCCGGCGGCGCCGGAGGCGGCACAGGAGGAGGCGGCGGAGGCGGCGCAGCCGGCGGCACAGGAGGCGACGCAGGAGCAGCCAGCGCAGCAGCUGCCGCUAGCACAGCAAGCACCGGAAGAGCAGGCGGAGGCAGAUCAGGCGCAGCAGCUGUAGCAGCACCAGGGGCUAAGCCAACAGGUUGUGUGGGAUGCUGCGUGCUAGGUUGAUUGCGGCAGGGUUGAGUAGUUGCCGCAGCUGCCGCCGGUUGUUGGGCUGGCGCAUACUGCCAUAAUGUUGCGGGGCAUGAGAGUGGCGAAAGGCAAUGGGGUUGCGAGACCGUACGUGUUGCACAAGAAUGUGAUGUGCUGAAGCCAUGGCCCAACUAAGCGAGGCCCAGAUGCCCAACUAAGCGAGAGCUGCUUACUCUAUUGUGCUGCAGUCUGUGUGGCUGCUGGGAGAGUUACAAAAGUACUCAAGAACGUAACUUCAGACUCAUGCCGAUGACACUGCUGAAACCACAUUGAAGACUAUGCUGCGACGGUUGAGUGGUACCUGGUGUCGAGGCACAGUAGCAGGAGCGUCAGCUCUAUGGGGGCGCCAAGAGGCUCGGGAAGAAGCAUCGGUAGCCAAUUGAUUCAUGCAUGACUGCUAUGACGAAGUUUGGGGGCGGGGUCAGGGGCGGGGUCUUGUCUGCUCCAAUCGCGCCAAGGCAUGGGGUGGGGGUAUUGCAUCGUGGGGUGGCCAGCCCACCUUGUCUUUGAAGCUCGCUGGUGCCCCUCUGCAAGCUGCAUGUACUAUUUAAUGAAUCGUGACCAUGACAGCACGCGCUGUAAACGAGCUGAACUCGCGGGGUGGAUUCCUCGGUGUAUUGGACCGCGCACUGCAGCCGCGGUUAAGGACGCAACAGCAGCGAGCUAGGCAAACCAAGGCACGAAUGCGUAUGCUUGAGACGCCUGGGAUUGCGUCCGGAGCUGCCUGGCGAUUCCUCGGUGCCAAUCGCGAAUUCCUUUUUGCUCCCAAUCGCUUUUGAGUCACAACAUACAUUGUGAAGUCCCCCAUAUCGCAUCCACACGGCACACGGGCUGCAGGCUGGAGCCGCAGGAGUGCCGGCAGUGCCCGACCAGGUGGGGCUUGCGGUUGCUCGCGGUUACUGUAUUGGGGGUGGGGCGGUUACUUGCGCAGGCCCAUGACUAGCAGCAUUGAGGGCUGGCUGCACGGGUGGGUGGUAUCGGCGGAAGGACAGCGUUGAGAGAGGGCAGGCAGCGGUAGGCAGGCAGGCAGGAAGGCAGGCAGGCGGACUUGGCCGUACGCCAGCAGGGUGGCGGUUUGUCGGGGAGGCCCGCAGGGAGGUCCGGGGCUGGGCUGGGGGACGGGGCCUGGGCACGCGGACCGCGCAGCCGGAUGGGCCGGUAGCUCCAAGUGUGCUGGCAGCAGCCAGUUGCAGUUGACGCCUGGCUGGCAGUCUAGCUUUGCUCCAGACCUCGCCUUUAACCAGUUCCGUCCCUCGUGUCUCCCAUGGGCGCGCAGGCGGCUUUGAUUGCUCUGCAAAAGCAAGUGGCGGCAUGCCAAGCGCGUGAGGCGGCAUACCAAGCGGAGACUGAGCGGCUGAGGGCCCAGCUUGUGAGUGGCUGUGUGCACGGGGCGGUGUGCAUGGCCUGCUACUGGAGAUGGGUUUACUUGCGGAAGACUGCCAGUUCGGGUCAAUCUGCAUGCGACAUGUUAAUCGGGCGUCAGAGGUGGCUCAUCAAUUGCACCGCCACGCAUAUGUCCUCCGCCGCUGACUUGCACCGCCACGCACAUGUCCACCGCCGCUGACUUGCGUGUCCCAUCAUUCCACUGCUGCAUGUGGACAGGCGGCCGCAGGGCACGUGGGGGCUGCCGGCUCGUUGGGUGCCGGGGCUGCUGGCCCAUCUGGUGCUGCUGCCCCACCUGCUGCUGGUGGUGCUGCUGGUGGUGCUACUGGCACGAAGCGGCAGGCCGACCUAGGGAGCGGCGGGGCCACUACCGCAGAGCCGCCGCAGCAGCGGCGGAAGCUCGGACUAUCGGAGGACGAGCAGCCGGCGCAGCAGACGGCGGCACAGGAGGCGGCACAGGAGGAGGCGGCGGAGGCGGCGCAGCCGGCGGCACAGGAGGCGACGCAGGAGCAGCCAGCGCAGCAGCUGCCGCUAGCACAGCAGGCACCGGAAGAGCAGGCGGAGGCAGAUCAGGCGCAGCAGCUGUAGCAGCACCAGGGGCUAAGCCAACAGGUUGUGUGGGAUGCUGCGUGCUAGGUUGAUUGCGGCAGGGUUGAGUAGUUGCCGCAGCUGCCGCCGGUUGUUGGGCUGGCGCAUACUGCCAUAAUGUUGCUGGGCAUGAGAGUGGCGAAAGGCAAUGGGGUUGCGAGACCGUACGUGUUGCACAAGAAUGUGAUGUGCUGAAGCCAUGGCCCAACUAAGCGAGGCCCAGAUGCCCAACUAAGCGAGAGCUGCUUACUCUAUUGUGCUGCAGUCUGUGUGGCUGCUGGGAGAGUUGCAAAAGUACUCAAGAACGUAACUUCAGACUCAUGCCGAUGACACUGCUGAAACCACAUUGAAGACUAUGCUGCGACGGUUGAGUGGUACCUGGUGUCGAGGCACAGUAGCAGGAGCGUCAGCUCUAUGGGGGCGCCAAGAGGCUCGGGAAGAAGCAUCGGUAGCCAAUUGAUUCAUGCAUGACUGCUAUGACGAAGUUUGGGGGCGGGGUCAGGGGCGGGGUCUUGUCUGCUCCAAUCGCGCCAAGGCAUGGGGUGGGGGUAUUGCAUCGUGGGGUGGCCAGCCCACCUUGUCUUUGAAGCUCGCUGGUGCCCCUCUGCAAGCUGCAUGUACUAUUUAAUGAAUCGUGACCAUGACAGCACGCGCUGUAAACGAGCUGAACUCGCGGGGUGGAUUCCUCGGUGUAUUGGACCGCGCACUGCAGCCGCGGUUAAGGACGCAACAGCAGCGAGCUAGGCAAACCAAGGCACGAAUGCGUAUGCUUGAGACGCCUGGGAUUGCGUCCGGAGCUGCCUGGCGAUUCCUCGGUGCCAAUCGCGAAUUCCUUUUUGCUCCCAAUCGCUUUUGAGUCACAACAUACAUUGUGAAGUCCCCCAUAUCGCAUCCACACGGCACACGGGCUGCAGGCUGGAGCCGCAGGAGUGCCGGCAGUGCCCGACCAGGUGGGGCUUGCGGUUGCUCGCGGUUACUGUAUUGGGGGUGGGGCGGUUACUUGCGCAGGCCCAUGACUAGCAGCAUUGAGGGCUGGCUGCACGGGUGGGUGGUAUCGGCGGAAGGACAGCGUUGAGAGAGGGCAGGCAGCGGUAGGCAGGCAGGCAGGAAGGCAGGCAGGCGGACUUGGCCGUACGCCAGCAGGGUGGCGGUUUGUCGGGGAGGCCCGCAGGGAGGUCCGGGGCUGGGCUGGGGGACGGGGCCUGGGCACGCGGACCGCGCAGCCGGAUGGGCCGGUAGCUCCAAGUGUGCUGGCAGCAGCCAGUUGCAGUUGACGCCUGGCUGGCAGUCUAGCUUUGCUCUGGACCUGGCCUUCAUCCAGUUCCCUCACUCGUACCUCCCAUGGGCGCGCAGGCGGCUUUAAUUGCUCUGCAAAAGCAAGUGGCGGCAUGCCAAGCGCGUGAGGCGGCAUACCAAGAGCAACUGGCGGCAUACCAAGCGCGUGAGGCGGCGGACAAGGCGCGUGAGGCGGCGCGCAAGGUGCGUGAGGUGGCAUACCAAGCGGAGAAUGAGCGGCUGAGGGCCCAGCUUGUGAGUGGCUGUGUGCACGGGGCGGUGUGCAUGGCCUGCUACUGGAGAUGGGUUUACUUGCGGAAGACUGCCAGUUCGGGUCAAUCUGCAUGCGACAUGUUAAUCGGGCGUCAGAGGUGGCUCAUCAAUUGCACCGCCACGCAUUUGUCCACCGCCGCUGACUUGCACCGCCACGCACAUGUCCACCGCCGCUGACUUGCGUGUCCCAUCAUUCCACUGCUGCAUGUGGACAGGCGGCCGCAGGGCACGUGGGGGCUGCCGGCUCGUUGGGUGCCGGGGCUGCUGGCCCAUCUGGUGCUGCUGCCCCACCUGCUGCUGCUGGUGCUGCUGGUGCUGGUGCUGGCACGAAGCGGCAGGCCGACCUAGGGAGCGGCGGGGCCACUACCGCAGAGCGGCCGCAGCAGCGGCGGAAACUGGGACAACCGGAGGAUGAGCAGCCGGCGCAGCAGCCGGCGGCACAGG
Molecule: long non-coding RNA, 4408 nt
Filed under: Chlamydomonas reinhardtii
Lineage: Eukaryota; Viridiplantae; Chlorophyta; Chlorophyceae; Chlamydomonadales; Chlamydomonadaceae
Description: long non-coding RNA (CREI_LNC000123)
Source: RNAcentral